Molecule: long non-coding RNA, 1591 nt
Organism: Humulus lupulus (European hop)
Lineage: Eukaryota; Viridiplantae; Streptophyta; Magnoliopsida; Rosales; Cannabaceae
Exons: 3
Source: RefSeq, a predicted model, not a curated record
AACAGCUACCAAAGUCUAUAUAAGAUGUUUGUAGAAGCAGGUAUGUAAGUCUACCAAGGUCUAUCAAUACCAAUUACCUCCAUUGAUAGCAAGCUUAAAGCUCUCUACUCAAUUCAUUCUCAUCAACUUCAACAAACCAAACCAUCAGAACUGUACAAGCUUCCUUUGCCCUAUCUUAAAGUCGGUUAUCUAACUGCACCACCUGCGGGGAAUCCAGUUGCACUACUGUUUAUGGUAUGUGGUUGAAGAUUGAGAACUCUAUUCUAGAUGGGUUUCAUGGUAACAUUCUAAUUGAGGAAACACAAAAAAAGAAUCUGGUUCAAGAAGAUACGACUGAAUCGGCAGAGAUGCUUACGGUCUCGGCAGAAGGGACAAAUGAGGGUAUGCCACAGAAGAUACAAGUUAAUACUGAUAUCAGAGUUGAAGGAAAACAUACCAAGUGACCAAUUACAUUUGGAGAGGAAGCUGAUGGUGAAGCACAGUCUAAAGUACUACCAGAAAGGAAUCAACAACAAAAAAAAAAGCCACGAAACGAACUAUGAUAGAAAGCUUAACAACUAUAUAUAUAUAUAACCAAUUACAUCAGGGAAUUUUCAUUCAAAUGGUAUGUAUAGCAGAGAGGAUUUAGUCAAUGUCCCUAUUAUAUUUGCUUAUGGAGUUUCGAAUAGCACUAAUACUAUAUAUAUAUAUACAUAUAUAUAUAUAUAGGGUUAUUACCGGCGAAAAUACCCAAUGUUUACAUGUUGUUCUACUUAUACACCCAAUUUUUAUUUUUCGCGGUGAAUAUACUCAAACCUACAUGAACUGUGUCUCCGUCACUACUUUACUCCUAACAGCGUUAAAAACGCUUACGUGGCCAAUUGCGUGUACAAAACUAGACACAUCAUUUAGCCCAGGUAAGUUUUUAAUUAUUGAUUGAAAAAAAAAAGCUUUAAAUCCUUAAAUACCAUAUGCACGAGAGAUCUCCAUUGUAGAAGAAGAAGAAGAAGAAGAAGAGAGAAGAGAUGAAAGGGGAAGACCCAAGUGUGUCUUGGGGCGAAUCAAUAAACCGAGGUGGAGCCAAAAUGAGGUCGUCGAGAUCUAGGGCACAAGGUGUAUAUCAAGCUUGUCGUAAGCAUUGUGAUUGUGGGGCAGAAACAGUGGAGAGGACAUCAUGGACCGAUGAUAAUCCAGGGAGACGGUUCAAAUCUUGCUAUAGGAUGAAAUGGAAUGGGGGUUGUAACUAUUUCCAAUGGAUUGACCCCCCUAUGUGUGAAAGGUCAAAGAUGGUGAUACCUGGUUUGCUAAGAAGAGUACGUGAGUUUGAUGGUGAUCUGGGCAGAUAUUAUGAAUAUGAAGAUAGAUAUGAGUCUUGCUUUGAACCUAGUGUGGAGUCUUUUCAAUGUCAAAAUUGUGGCUAUAUGAAUGGGAGUUUGGAUGGAAGAGUUCAUGCAAGUUCCUGGUUGGUAAAGGGAAAUGUGAGGAAGAUGAUGUUGUUUUUUUUUUUUUUGUAAUUGUGUAUUGGCUGAAAAAAAUUAUGUAAUGUUCGACUUCCCUGUUUAUUGUAUUUAGUGUUGCUUUCAAGCAUAAUAAAAAUUAUGUAUUUUAUUUA